Molecule: ribosomal RNA, 253 nt
Filed under: uncultured bacterium
Lineage: Bacteria
Description: partial 16S ribosomal RNA
Rfam family: Bacterial small subunit ribosomal RNA
Source: RNAcentral
GACGUAGGGCGCGAGCGUUGUCCGGAUUUAUUGGGCGUAAAGAGCUCGUAGGCGGCUUGUCGCGUCGACUGUGAAAUCCCGCGGCUCAACUGCGGGUCUGCAGUCGAUACGGGCAGGCUAGAGUUCGGUAGGGGAGACUGGAAUUCCUGGUGUAGCGGUGAAAUGCGCAGAUAUCAGGAGGAACACCGAUGGCGAAGGCAGGUCUCUGGGCCGAUACUGACGCUGGGGAGCGAAAGCGUGGGGAGCGAACAGG